UACAGAGGGUGCAAGCGUUAAUCGGAAUUACUGGGCGUAAAGCGAGCGUAGUCGGUUAUUUAAGUCGGGUGUGAAAGCCCCGGGCUCAACCUGGGAAUUGCAUUCGAUACUGGAUAGCUAGAGUUCGGCAGAGGGAAGCGGAAUUUCCGGUGUAGCGGUGAAAUGCGUAGAUAUCGGAAGGAACGCCGGUGGCGAAAGACGCUACGACUGGACCUCUUCUGACGCUGAGGCGACGAAAGCCAGGGAGCAAACGGG
This 255-nucleotide ribosomal RNA is filed under the name uncultured bacterium. RNAcentral describes it as "partial 16S ribosomal RNA". It matches the Rfam family "Bacterial small subunit ribosomal RNA", at positions 524 to 776 of the family's 1533-position model. The record is from RNAcentral.